AAAGAUUAAGCCAUGCAUGUCUAAGUAUAAGCAAUUAUACCGUGAAACUGCGAAUGGCUCAUUAAAUCAGUUAUCGUUUAUUUGAUAGUACCUUACUACUUGGAUAACCGUGGUAAUUCUAGAGCUAAUACAUGCUGAAAACCCCAACUUCGGGAGGGGUGUAUUUAUUAGAUAAAAAACCAAUGCCCUUCGGGGCUUCUUGGUGAUUCAUGAUAACUUUACGGAUCGCAUGGCCUUGCGCCGGCGACGGUUCAUUCAAAUUUCUGCCCUAUCAACUUUCGAUGGUAAGGUAUUGGCUUACCAUGGUUU
Molecule: ribosomal RNA, 309 nt
Filed under: uncultured fungus
Lineage: Eukaryota; Fungi
Description: SSU rRNA
Rfam family: Eukaryotic small subunit ribosomal RNA
Source: RNAcentral